GAUGAACGCUGGCGGCGUGCCUAAUACAUGCAAGUCGAGCGAACAGACGAGGAGCUUGCUCCUCUGACGUUAGCGGCGGACGGGUGAGUAACACGUGGAUAACCUACCUAUAAGACUGGGAUAACUUCGGGAAACCGGAGCUAAUGCCGGAUAAUAUAUUGAACCGCAUGGUUCAAUAGUGAAAGACGGUUUUGCUGUCACUUAUAGAUGGAUCCGCGCCGCAUUAGCUAGUUGGUAAGGUAACGGCUUACCAAGGCGACGAUGCGUAGCCGACCUGAGAGGGUGAUCGGCCACACUGGAACUGAGACACGGUCCAGACUCCUACGGGAGGCAGCAGUAGGGAAUCUUCCGCAAUGGGCGAAAGCUUGACGGAGCAACGCCGCGUGAGUGAUGAAGGUCUUCGGAUCGUAAAACUCUGUUAUUAGGGAAGAACAAAUGUGUAAGUAACUAUGCACGUCUUGACGGUACCUAAUCAGAAAGCCACGGCUAACUACGUG
RNAcentral lists this ribosomal RNA (497 nucleotides) under uncultured bacterium. RNAcentral describes it as "partial 16S ribosomal RNA". It matches the Rfam family "Bacterial small subunit ribosomal RNA", at positions 28 to 507 of the family's 1533-position model. The record is from RNAcentral.